RNAcentral lists this unclassified non-coding RNA (207 nucleotides) under Glomeraceae sp. Its description in RNAcentral is "partial contains 5.8S ribosomal RNA and internal transcribed spacer 2". The stretch from base 1 to 71 matches the Rfam family "5.8S ribosomal RNA", at positions 84 to 154 of the family's 154-position model. The record is from RNAcentral. Lineage: Eukaryota; Fungi; Glomeromycota; Glomeromycetes; Glomerales; Glomeraceae.
GUGAAUCAUCGAAUCUUUGAACGCAAAUUGCACUCUCUGGUAUUCCGGAGAGUAUGCCUGUUUGAGGGUCAGUUUAAAUAAAAAUCGGUGUGGUUGCCGCCUUUCGUGGUGACGCACCGGAUUUGGGUCGUCUUGCCUUCGGUUAAGUGACCUAAAUUUUUCCUGGUUUUUUUUCGGCGGAAUUUAAUGAUUUUAACUUCCGUUUCC